This 393-nucleotide ribosomal RNA is filed under the name uncultured bacterium. RNAcentral's name for it is "partial 16S ribosomal RNA". It matches the Rfam family "Bacterial small subunit ribosomal RNA", at positions 523 to 918 of the family's 1533-position model. The record is from RNAcentral.
AUACGGAGGAUCCGAGCGUUAUCCGGAUUUAUUGGGUUUAAAGGGAGCGUAGGUGGACAUGUAAGUCAGUUGUGAAAGUUUGCGGCUCAACCGUAAAAUUGCAGUUGAUACUGUGUGUCUUGAGUACAGUAGAGGUGGGCGGAAUUCGUGGUGUAGCGGUGAAAUGCUUAGAUAUCACGAAGAACUCCGAUUGCGAAGGCAGCUCACUGGACUGUUACUGACACUGAGGCUCGAAAGUGUGGGUAUCAAACAGGAUUAGAUACCCUGGUAGUCCACACAGUAAACGAUGAAUACUCGCUGUUUGCGAUAUACAGCAAGCGGCCAAGCGAAAGCAUUAAGUAUUCCACCUGGGGAGUACGCCGGCAACGGUGAAACUCAAAGGAAUUGGCGGGG